Molecule: long non-coding RNA, 2952 nt
Organism: Manis pentadactyla (Chinese pangolin)
Lineage: Eukaryota; Metazoa; Chordata; Mammalia; Pholidota; Manidae
Exons: 5
Source: RefSeq, a predicted model, not a curated record
UCUGGGUCCGUCGGUGCCUCCCCUUAACCCAGGAGACCUGGAAGGCCCCCUCGGCACAGGCUGGGCUCCCGGGCCCUGCGCGGCCAGGCUCGGGUGGGGCUGUGCUUCAGAGGAUGAACCAUCCCGCCCUCAGACAUCUCGGCCUAGGCAUCUCCCGAGGGAGGCUGGGUCGAAGUUCCAGCGACCCCACGCGGGGAGGGAUGGAAGGUCUGUUCACUGCCCGCGGACACAGACUGCGCCGCCGAAUUAAAACGAUCCAGAAACCUCCUCCUCCUGCCUUCCCUACUUCACAGCCUGGGAACCAGGUCCAGAGAAAGGCCCGAUCCUGGCCGCCUGCCUCUGGGGUCUCACUUCCAAGGCUCAGCGGGUCGGCCGCGGGGUGACAUCGGGCCAGCCGUCUACCUCCUCAGGGCUCCGUUGAUGAAUGAACCACGGGUUCACCUGCGUGUCUCUCGGGAGUGCGUCUUCCUGUGGACCAAGGGCAGAAUUGUUCCCCUAGGAGACAAUUUCCACCCUUGCCUACCAAGAGGCACAAAACAAAUUCAGAAGUUGAAGGAGGAGCAGAAAAAAGAAAAUAACAAACACAAAAACACCUAAAAAUUCAACCACGGCUGUGACCUUGUUUGGACUAAUUAUUCCUGCCUGUCCAGCUCCGUGUUCGUGUCCUGGGAGUGUUCUGGGAUCUGAUGAGGAAGCCAUCGUUUCGCCUGUCUGCUGACCAGGGCAGGCUUUGUGGGGGAGGAGGGCUAUCAGAAGCCGGAAGUGGGGGGCGGGGGCAGGCUGCCUGAGGGGGUAGAAAGCAGCGACCUGGAUCUCUCUUUCCCAUUUCCCAUCCUGCCAGAAACCAGAGCCCCUCUGGAGUUGGCCUUGGUCUCACCAGUGCAGGCUUGAAGAGGGGGCCACAGCUACCCCCUGCUCCCUGUUUCCCCGUGUCCUCCUCCAUGCAUUCCUCCCCGGUGUACUCUGCUCUGACGUCUCCCCUCUUGGAUCCCUGGGCCCUGUCCCCAGUGUCUGACCUGAGUCCCCCCACCCUUCCGGAUGUCAGGAAUUACAGGAGUGCAGAAGAGAGAGAGGCAGAAGCACUUGCCAGCCCCCGUGACAAGAGGCACGGAAGGAAAGACUCUGCCAUUACUCAUGUGGAGCCUGCCUGGCAUCCUGGCUGUCUGCCUCAUCCCUGCGAAAGAUCUAGUGGCAGGCUGAAAAUCUAUGGUGGCUUUAAAGCAGUGAUGAGAAUAAAUGACAUUUUGAGGCUCCACCAAUGGGAGUGGAAGAUGAAAAUAUCUGGGAUUUCUGUUGGUGACAAAGUCAGAACUCCUGCUGAUACCACUCACUGCGUUUUCUUGCCUGCUUUCACAGUGGAAGGAAAUGUGAAACUUCAGCCUGAUGCAGGAGUGCCAGCUGUCAGGCACUCUGGCUGGAAGCCACUGCUCUCUUUAGCUGGAUUGGGGUCACCUGCUCUGAGGUUUGGUGGCCCAGAUGUCUUAGAGACUCAGGUACCUCACCUUUCGGUACCGUCUCAGGAAGCGGAGCUAUAGCUGAGAGAUCCAGGCAGCCCCAGGACUGAAGAGCAGUUACUUUCUGGAAGUUGCAAGGUAUCCACACUUGGGGGAUGGCCAGGGGCUUUCAGGCCCCAGGAAGCCACCAGGGGGUUUCGGGCAGGCUUAGCCCCUCAGCUCCCAUUCUGUGGAGGCAGGGGACAGAGCUGUGGGGGAUGCUUGGGGAGCCGACAGAUGGCAGACUUGUUUAAGCCAAGAGGCAGUCUGGAAGGACAGCCCCAAGGGCUGCCCACGUCCAGGGAGGCUGAAGCUCAGAGAGGACAGCACAGGUCCCCGGUCACAGUACAGGGCGGGGCUGGGCUGGAACGUGGGCUCUCCUCCCACUCUGUGGCCUCUCUGGAGGCCCAGGGGCCCAGGCAUACCCACAAGCCCCUGACUCCCACUGGCAGGCUCUCCCUGCUGGCUGUUGAAGUUCUGAGUAAUGGGAGCUGUCACAGAGCCUCGCUGCCCUGGAGGAUGGCCGAGCCCUUGCUACGAGGUGGCUAGGCCCCUCAGCCCCUGAAACAGUCCGUCUCCUGCCCUGGUGCUGUGUCGCAGUGUGGCGACAGGUGGGAGUGUCACCAGCUCGCGUCCUCUCCUGGCUGUUGGCUGAGGCCCAGAGCAUCUGCCCCAGACAAAGGGCACACAUUCCCUCUCGGUGGGUGUGCUGGCCAGCACCACCCACUUUCCACCCACACAAAGCCUGAAGUUGCAUAACUGUCUUUCCUGGGAGCCAGAGGGAACUGGCUGGCAGCAGCAGAGCCAUUUAGGUGUGCCACAAGGACCUGGAGGUCCCAGGGGCGUGGGCUCCGGAAAUCAACUGCAGCGGAGGACACCCACCAGACCCCGUGCCCAGGCGGGAUACCCGCCUCAGCUGCUGUAAAUGCGGUCCUGAGGGUUCUCAGCUUCCUCCUUCUCUGGAGAAUUGCCUUCCACCAAUGGGGGCCACAUCACUCAUGGGGUUACAUCUCCCACCCCUGGGGCUGUUCAGGGCCAAAGGCCAAAAGACGCUGGCAUUAAGGCAUCCUUGCUGCGAAGCGGGGCGGACUGUGGUAGAAUUCCUCCUCCAGAGCUGCCAUGGGGUCAGGCUGAGCUCCCUCCGGCUGACCUGUCCACCUGUGUGACCAUCCUUCUGGCCCCUCUUGUGGCCACUGGUUGUCUUCUCCUGAGUCCCUCCCUCAGCGGAUCCCAUCUCAGGCUCGGCUUCAAGGGACUCUGGCCCAACUCUGACCGAUACGAAACUUCUCACCCAUCUUAGCAGUUGAGUUUGAGUCAGAAAACUAUUAAGUGUGAAUUAAAAAAAUAAUUAUGAAAUUGCCACCACUCAUAUGUCUUGGAGUGAUUUAUGGCUGCAUUGGCAGGCUGUAGGGGGCUGACAAAGGAACUUCCCAGCCCUAGGAGGGUCUGGCCAGUAUGG